Molecule: unclassified non-coding RNA, 4318 nt
Filed under: Hevea brasiliensis (rubber tree)
Lineage: Eukaryota; Viridiplantae; Streptophyta; Magnoliopsida; Malpighiales; Euphorbiaceae
Source: RNAcentral
ACCUUCUGUAUCUAUUGAGGUAAAGAGCCUUCAAAUCUAUCGUCUCUGCCAGAUUUAGGGUUUGGACUCUUCUAAAUCAUCUAUUGAUUCUGUUUUCUUCGAUUUAUUUCUCAUCUCGCAAAAAAAUAUAAUUUUUUUUUAUUUUGAUUUUGGUAUCUCUUGCUAGGGAUUAGAAAAUUGAUUUCUUGAAAGGGUGUGUUGCUCGGCAAGGUUGGAUAUUUGAUGAGAUUUGUUUUCACAAGGUUAGCUCAGCUUAUUUUUCACGAUAACCCUUUCGCAUGUUUAUAACACUGUUUGUUUCUUGAGAAAAUUGAGGAGAACAAUGGAAAUCCCUUUUGAGGUUGAACUAGAAUUCUAAUUCAUGUGUCUUUUGCUCCGCGAUUAAGCCUGUUAUGCAUAUAAAAUUAGCUUUUUUUCAUUCACAAAUAAAUUGAUUAUCUCAGCUUUUAAUUUAUGCACAGUAUGUUGUUGUUGGGCUUCAUCAGUUGAUUAUAGUUGAAACUUUUUGGUGGUUGGUUUCCUGAGCUAUUACUUAAUCCAAUAUUAUUUGCCAAAUUAAAUCUCACUUAUUGUUAGUUGAAAAUGAUUUUUGGUGAUGUUACUGCUUCUUUAACAUGUUGCAUAUAAUCAAACAUUUGAACUCUAAUUCUUGUAUGCUUAGUUUCAAUUUGCUUUUGAAAUACUGCAAUGGAAUGAACUGGUAUGAAUUACUGCAUUGAAAGCAUUUUGAUUUUGCAGGACGAAAAUUUUUUUGCACUUGAAGCUUGGUAUUGAGCAACAUUCAUCUGGAGUUCAGAUACUUUGUAUAGUCAAGUCUGUGGAAAAAUGCCUAGGGAUUUGUCACGAUCGCGAUCUCGGUCACCCUCAUAUAGGCGAAGGCGUUCGCCAUUGCCAGUGGGGCAUAGGUAUAGCAAGAGGAGCCGAAGGGAUAGGAGCCGAUCUCCAUAUUCAUCCUAUUCUUAUAGCAGGUGAUCCCGUUUAUGUUCUCCCUAUUUAAGUUGAUCUAAUUUUAUCCUCUAGGAGUUGUAAUAAACAUUGAGGACUCAUGUAUUUUUGUUGCCGAUUGGAAAUACAAUUGUUCAAGUUGAUCUGUACGCAUCUUAUCCUUCUCCAUUGAUCUUUUGGGGCUUAUCUAUCUUUUAUUUUAUCCUCUUGCUAUUAUGCAUGUUGUCUAUAACAAUUUUCUUUGAGUUUUAUCUUGGAUGACAUCUGAAUCUGAUGUUAUUAACUUGAAAGGUUAAGUUAGAUAACUUGAAUACUAACUUAAGGCAUUAGUAUCAUUAUAAAAUCCCAUAAUGCGGAACUUGGUCUUAGUAUCUUGUUAAAUGAAUUUUUCCCCUUCAUUUGUAAUCUUAUUAUAUUUAAAAAUAUUUGGCAAGUUUUCUUUCAUCCAAGAGCAUGGCAGGGUGAAAUUUUACAUAGGGGCUAGAUAUGUGAUUCUAAGAUUCCUCUGUUGGAAACCAUAUUUAAUGCUUCAAAGUUCAGCUAGCAAAUUAGUGAGAAGAUUCCACAUGAUACUGCUUUAAAAUGGAACCAUGUGGAAGUUGAUCAUUGUUUCGGCUUCUUUGUUUACUGCUCUGAGUGCUUUCAGUGGAUGGGAAACGAAUGACUUGAUUGUUUACUUUGGUAUAAUUGUGAAAUUUUGUUGUUCAGAAAGAUUUGUCUCCAUGGAUUCCAUUAAUAUUUUCUUGAUACAUAGGAGUUAAUGUUUGACAACCCUCAUGCCAAUGGUUAAGCCAUGUUGAUUUUGUCUAAAGUCUGUAUUGAUUAUGUUUCUCAACUGAUAAUCAAUGUUAAUUAUCAAUAUUUCAAUGGGCUUCUGCUUUUGGGGAACUUACCAUUUGCAUGGAAAGGUGGAGAGAUGCCAAAUAUAUUCUUUGGAGAAAAGUACAAAGAGUGCUUUAAGAGUGCCAUAGGAUUCAUGCUCUUUGUAAGAAAUUUUAGAAACUCAGUUUCUUCUCGUCAUAUGGGAUGGGAAGUGAGCAGGUGAUGGGUGCCGAUGGGUGUCCUUUUGUUGCUCGAUUGUGAUAUUAGCUUCUUCAUGUGAUAAAAGAUGGAGCACACAAUGGUUAUUCUUAACAAUGUAUGAGGUAACUGUAUUGCUUCUAUUUUAAUUGCGGUAAAUGGUGGGAGGGUUAAUUAUUAUGUGCGCUAAUGAUGCACUUUUUGUUGUUGUUACUCAAUAAUCUUUUUUAUAUUACACAGACGGAGAAGUCGUUCUAUUUCUCCACGACGUCGCAAAAGUCGUUCUCCAACUCCAAGGCGUUAUAAGAGGCAAAGAAGUAGGAGUUCCUCAUUGUCUCCUACUCUUAAAUCUUCUAGCCCAAGUCUUGUGUCAAUGGAGCACAAAAUUGCUAGUGAAAAUUUGAGAAAAGAAGGCGAAGAAGAGAAGAAGAGGUAUAUCAACCACUUUACAUUUUAGUUCAGAGUGUUAUCAUAGUUCUACUUUCUUGCAUUGGGUCCAGCUUUAAAUUUCACAGUUGCUUAUGUUUCAUUUAACUUUUGGGCCAUUUAUGAAAAGAUUACUUAGUUGGGGAGAAUGUAUACUUGGGGAUUAAUUUAUUGCUGUCAUUUAAGUUAUUGUAUCUGAGUUGAGAGGCUCAGAACACUGGUGUUCAUUUUUAUAUUGGUCCCUGUAUGUUGUAUUGUUAAGCUGAAGAAUAAUAUUCGGCAGCCCACCUGGUAAAAAAGGAGCUUCUAUACAUUGACUAUCAUUUUAUAUAAGAGAUGCUUGUAUAAUCUGGUCUAAAUUGAUUUUAAAAAAAUUAGAUGCUAGUGAACAUAUGGUUUGCAUUAAAACAGGAAGUUUUCUGGUAAUUGCUUUAUAUUGGCCAGGUACUGGCUGAAUGGGUAAUUUUGAUCGUUAGUUGCUUUCUAUAAAUUUUCCAUGUGCUGCUAGACCUUUGUGUCUGUCCCCCUCCCCUUCAGAAAAAAAAAAGGGCAAUUUAAUAUUUUUCGAUUAUGAUAUGCAGUGCAUUAUCAAUAUCAUUGCUGCAUCAUUUCCCUAUUUCAAUACUAGUAAGGUUGAAGAAAGAUAUUUCAAUGGAAGCAUAUUUGUCCACUAAUUAUGAGUACUUUAGUGCUACUUUUCUUCUUCUUUCACAUGCCCACAAAUGCUUGAAGACUUCAUUGACUAUUUAGGCAUCAGACCAUAAUAAGAUGAAGUUAAUUCAAUUUUUUUUCUGCCUUCAAUCUGACCUCCUGCUUAAUGUUUUUAACUUUGAAAUAUUAUGGCCAAGAAUAACCAUUUUUAAAGAAUAUAUUCCAUAUAUUGGGAAUUUUUAUUUAUUAUUUCUCAUUUCUAAUGUGUAUUCCAUGAAUAAAGGUUGUCAAGUUUCACUUUUUGCUUAUCCAACAUGAUACAUGUAUUUUUGACUCUUGGGGUGGCAGUUAGGAGCUCCUUAAGAACCUUCCAUUGCCAAUUAGGGAUAACUUGUUUUCUAACCCAUUCACUGAGAGAUCUUUGUUUGACUUCUGAGGUUUGAGGAAAGGGCAUCAGUUUGGCUAUGAUAUAUGUAUUGCAAUGUGGAAAAGUACAGGAUUUCCAACUAUAGGUCAGUUUGAUGUGGCAAGCUGGGGCUGUGACAGAUGACCAUUGCUAAAAAUUAAAUUUUCUCUUCUCAAUGGGUCUAACAUUUUACUUCACUUCUUGGCAGUAACUUCCUCAUUUAGAAUAACCAAUAGACAUUGAUUAUUGUAACAAUUUAAAGAAAUAAUUUAACCAGAAGUGACUUGAGCUUAUUCAAUAAAUCAAGUGCCCUCUGGUAUUCUACUGUUGACAAAUUGUAUUUUACUCAGUUUACCCUAGUUUCAUAAGCCUGUGUUGAGUAUAAUGAAAAGCUGUCCAUUUUGACCUCCAGUUGUGCUGUGUGCCUUUAACUGGACCACAAAUCCUUCUGUAAAGGGCUUUCUUGACAUCAAAUUCAUCUUGCCAAGUUGCAUUGCUAGUGCUUUGUUUCUCCUUGUUUAUAUUUCUCUUUAAACAUGGUAUUACUGGAUUUUGUCAUUGCACUGGGGGCUUGGCACCAUUGACUAUGAACAUGCCACCCAAAACAAAAAGAACAUAUAGAAAUCUUCCUGUUGCAAAUUGUAUUUUGGUGCUAGAAUUAAACUAUUUUGGUGAUUAGUUUUAAAGCUGCAGCAGGUUACUUGACAUUCUUUUCCACAGGCUUUUCUGAAGGAAGAUACUGCUAUUGUUCAACUUGUUAUAUUUGAUGAUGAAAUUGGGUGCUUUGUUUAUCUACUAUUCACCAGUUUUGAUACUCAUUUGUUUGGAUCAGGAUUCUGUUAGAGGCGUCAACAGGAAGCAGAACUAAAA